AACGAACGCUGGCGGCGCGUUUUAAGCAUGCAAGUCGAACGGUAGUAUGGUGCUUGCACCAUAUGAGAGUGGCGAACGGGUGAGUAACACGUAAGUAAUCUGCCUAAAAGUUGGGAUAGCCUGUGGAAACACAGGGUAAUACCGAAUACGUCUGUUAAAUGGGAGUUUAAUAGAGAAAGGAGCUAAGGCUUCGCUUUUAGAUGAGCUUGCGGUUCAUUAGCUUGUUGGUGGGUAAAGGCCUACCAAGGCGACGAUGAAUAGCGGCCUGAGAGGGUGACCGGCCACACUGGGACUGAGAUACGGCCCAGACUCCUACGGAGGCAGCAGC
This 328-nucleotide ribosomal RNA is filed under the name uncultured bacterium. RNAcentral describes it as "bacterial SSU rRNA". It matches the Rfam family "Bacterial small subunit ribosomal RNA", at positions 29 to 355 of the family's 1533-position model. The record is from RNAcentral.